RNAcentral lists this unclassified non-coding RNA (198 nucleotides) under soil metagenome. Its description in RNAcentral is "partial contains 5.8S ribosomal RNA, internal transcribed spacer 2, and large subunit ribosomal RNA". The record is from RNAcentral.
AACGCACGAGACCUGCGGACCUGCGGAAGGAUCAUUACCGAGCCCUACCCCUUGGGUAGAUCUCCCACCCACUGUGAUCACUACGCUCGUUGCCUUGGCGGGUAGCCGGUCUACCCGCCAGAGGACCCCCGAGACCCUGGAUGUCGGUGUUGUCCGAGUACAGUUUACAGCGAUUAAAACUUUUAACAACGGAUCUCU